This 1386-nucleotide ribosomal RNA is filed under the name Triticum aestivum (bread wheat). RNAcentral's name for it is "partial small subunit ribosomal RNA". The record is from RNAcentral. Lineage: Eukaryota; Viridiplantae; Streptophyta; Magnoliopsida; Poales; Poaceae.
AUGCCGCGGGCCCACCCCCGCCGCCGCCGCCUCCUCCCCGUCGCCGCGGCGGCGGCCGCCCUCGCGCUCCUCGCUCUGCUCGUCCUCCUGCCCACCGCGCCGCCGGGGGGACCCGCGGCCCCCGCCUCCCUCCUCCGCGCGGCCAUCGCCGCGCACCCGUCCCCCGCCUCCUACGCGCACCCGUGCGCCGACCACCUCUCCCUCUCGCUCCACCGCCUCCGCGCCGCGCUCCCCGCGCUCGAGUCCGGCGACCUGCCGGCCGCGCUCCACCUCGCCUCCGCCUCGCUCCAGUGCCAGUACGACUGCUCCCACCUCCUGUCCCUCCCCGCCUUCCCCUCCCACUCGCUCACCUCCCGCUUCCUCAACUCCCUCACCCCGCAGACGCUAACCGCAUACCCCAAACCCGCCUCCUUCUACUCCACGGUCGCAGCAUUUCCGGCGAGGGUCCGUCCGGCCGCCACCGUCUGCAAGUCCAAUCCGGCGUGCGACUUCUCCAACGUGCAAGACGCCGUCAAUGCCGCGCCGAAUUACACUGCCGGGCACUUCCUCAUCACCGUCUCUGCAGGUAUAUACAAGGAAAACGUCGUAGUUCCGUUCGAGAAGACCAACGUUUUGCUGGUGGGCGAGGGAAUGGGGGCUACCGUGAUCACUGCCUCACGGAGCGUGGGGAUCGAAGGGCUCGGCACUUAUGACACCACGACGGUGGCUGUCGUCGGCGAUGGCUUCCGGGCGAGGGAUAUCACAUUUGAGAACACUGCUGGGGCAGGAGCUCACCAGGCGGUUGCGUUCCGGUCAGACAGCGACCGGUCGGUGCUGGAGAAUGUGGAGUUCCGAGGGCAUCAGGACACCUUGUAUGCUCGCACAAUGCGGCAAUUGUAUCGCCGAUGCCAUAUUACUGGAACUGUGGAUUUUGUAUUUGGGAAUGCCGCAGCUAUGUUUGAGGAAUGCGUGAUUGAGACGGUGCCGCGGGCAGAGGGUUCCGGGAAGAGCGCACGCAAUGUGGUGGCAGCAAAUGGGAGGAUUGAUCCAGGGCAGACCACAGGGUUUGUGUUUCAAAAUUGCACAGUGGAUGGUAGCAAAGAUUUCGUUGUGUUGUUCCAGGCAAAGCCGCAAUCGUACCGGCUCUACUUGGGGCGUCCAUGGAAGGAGUAUGCAAGGACACUAUUUGUCAGCUGUUAUUUAGGCAAGGUUGUCAGGCCGGAGGGUUGGCUUGCUUGGCGAGGGGAUUUUGCACUCAAGACACUGUAUUAUGGGGAGUUUGAUAGUCGAGGCCCUGGUGCAAAUCAGACAUCAAGGGUCGGGUGGAGCAGUCGGACAUCAGAACAGCAUGUCACAUUCUACUCAGUAGAGAACUUUAUUCAAGGACAUGAAUGGAUUGCGUACUAA